This 274-nucleotide ribosomal RNA is filed under the name uncultured bacterium. RNAcentral describes it as "partial 16S ribosomal RNA". It matches the Rfam family "Bacterial small subunit ribosomal RNA", at positions 523 to 796 of the family's 1533-position model. The record is from RNAcentral.
AUACGGAGGGGGCAAGCGUUGUUCGGAUUUACUGGGCGUAAAGAGCAUGUAGGCGGUUAGAUUAGUCAGUUGUGAAAUCCUAUGGCUUAACCAUAGAAUUGCAUCUGAUACUGUCUAGCUAGAGUGCAGGAGAGGAGAGUGGAAUUUCCAGUGUAGCGGUGAAAUGCGUAGAUAUUGGAAGGAACACCGGUGGCGAAGGCGGCUCUCUGGUCUGUAACUGACGCUGAGAUGCGAAAGCGUGGGUAGCAAACAGGAUUAGAAACCCCGGUAGUCC